AGAGUUUGAUCAUGGCUCAGGAUAAACGCUGGCGGCGUGCAUGAGACAUGCAAGUCGAACGGGUGACUCGGGCUUGCUCGAGUUGCUAGUGGCGGACGGCUGAGUAACGCGUAGGUGACCUGCCCCGAAGUGGGGAAUAACUGCCCGAAAGGGUGGCUAAUACCGCAUGUGGUCACACGUUCAAUCGUGUGAGUAAAGCCGCAAGGCGCUUCGGGAGGGGCCUGCGUCCGAUUAGCUCGUUGGUGGGGUAACGGCUCACCAAGGCGACGAUCGGUAGGUGGUCUGAGAGGACGAUCACCCAGACUGGGACUGAGACACGGCCCAGACUCCUACGGGAGGCAGCAGUCGGGAAUUUUGCUCAAUGGGCGCAAGCCUGAAGCAGCAACGCCGCGUGAGGGAUGAAGGCCUUCGGGUUGUAAACCUCUUUUUUCAGGGACGAUAAUGACGGUACCUGGAGAAUAAGCCACGGCUAACUACGUGCCAGCAGCCGCGGUAAUACGUAGGUGGCGAGCGUUGUCCGGAUUUACUGGGCGUAAAGAGCGCGCAGGCGGUCGGAUCAGUCGAAUGUGAAAGCCCCCGGCUUAACUGGGGAGGGUCAUUCGAUACUGUUCGACUCGAAGGCAGGAGAGGGAAGUGGAAUUCCCGGUGUAGUGGUGAAAUGCGUAGAUAUCGGGAGGAACACCAGUGGCGAAGGCGACUUUCUGGCCUGUUCUUGACGCUGAGGCGCGAAAGCUAGGGGAGCAAACAGGAUUAGAUACCCUAGUAGUCC
Molecule: ribosomal RNA, 769 nt
Filed under: uncultured bacterium
Lineage: Bacteria
Description: bacterial SSU rRNA
Rfam family: Bacterial small subunit ribosomal RNA
Source: RNAcentral